GAAGCCUUCCUGGUGCUCCCGGUCCCGGAUUUGGGACGCGUGGGCCCACUCCUGUCACGCUGGGGUGGCGGGGAGCGGUGCCUCACCUCCCCAGCUGGGCCCUUCUGUGCACUCCUGGUUCCACCUGCGCCCUGAAUAAGUGCAGAGGUUGGCAUGUACAUUUCCCAGGAAAGGAAGUCAGAAAGACUGGGUCGCCAAAUGGGAAAGGAGCUGAGAGUUUGGGCCACCUCCCCAGCCACUGAAUUGCCCCACCUGCCCUUGUGGGUGGAGCCCUGAGAGUCUCCUGGGAUCAACAGAGACCUUAGCAACAGGAGCCACUGUGUUGCAGAAACAGGCCAGUAGGCGAGGUGGCACUGGGUUGAGGCAGGCGGGAGUCCCCUUUGCUUAUGGAACACCUGGCAGCCCCAGGCCCCAGGCCAGAGGCCCCACCUCAAGCCAUUAAGAAUGUUCUGCCAAGGGCUGAGGAAUGGCUGCCAGGAGUCCCUGGGUGUACCCCAACCUGGGCCACCAACCUUGAGACCGGACUUCCCUCAGAUCUAGAGCUGAGUGAGGAGCAGCGGCUGCAGGUCUGCAAGGAGGUGGUGGACCUGCAGAUCAGAACCCAUCACUUGCAGGAGCAGCAUGAGGCUGAAAUCUUCGAGCUGAGGAGUGAGGUCCUGCGGCUGGAGAGCCGAGUGCUGCAGCUCGAGCUGCAUGGAGAGCAGGCAGCCCCAGUAAAAGCUGACCUGGGACACUAUCAGGCACUGGGACAGGAGCUUGGGCACAAGGCCUGGGGGCAGGGACACUCUGACCAGCGCAGACUCCAGGCACAGCCCAAGGACUUCCUGACCCCUGAGAAUGAACAGCAGAAGCUGGGGGACAGCGGAGCAGAGCGGGUGCUGGAACAGCACAGGGCUCGGCAGCAGGCGCUGGAGACGUGCGUGGCAGCCCUGGGCCAGCAGCUGCAGGGAGCCCGGGAGGAGGCCAGGACAGCCGGGCAGCAACUGACUGCAUGUGCCAUGGUGCUGUCUGCCUGCCGGGGCCAACUCCACCAGGCUGAGGCAGAGAACGCCCAGCUGCAACUGCAGCUCAAGAAGCUAAAUGAGGAGUACGCCAUCCGACUGCAGCAUCGCGCGCGAGCCGCCGUGGCUGAGUGUGCAGACGGUGCAGGCCCAACGGCGGCGGUCACAGCCCUUCGGACAUUCCUGGAGACCACUCUGGAGGACAUCCGGGUGGCACACCACAGUCGUGAGCAACAGCUGGCCCGGGCUGCUCGCACCUACCGCAAGUGCCUGGCAGAUCUGAGCCAGAGGCAUGAGGAGCUGCUAGCUGCACACAGCCCCGCACCUUACCACAGGACCCAUCCCAGGCUCAGCAAAGCCCCAACCCCAGGGCCUCUGAGCAACCUCCUCGUUCAGCAACCGAGACUCCCUACCACAAAGCCUGUACAGCCCAGCAGACUGGCGACGCUGCUCUCAUUCCCACAGAAGGGACCCAGGGAAGCCACCCAGGGGAGCAGGCUGGAGCCACGGGGCUUGGAAGCUGCAUCCUGGGCCCAGAUCCACCAGAAACUACAGGACUUCUCCCAUGGCACCCAGAGCUGGAGCGGGAGCGGGCACAGCUGCUAGUCCGGGCCACGAUGGCUGAGGAACAACUUUCUGAGCUACAGGAGUAUGUGGACCAGCACCUGGGCAGGUACACACAGGAGAUCCUGAGGCUGAGGAAGCUGGUAGGGCCAGGAGACACCGGGAAAGGGGGGGCCACACCUCCAGCCAAGCCCCAGCGACCAAGGACUCACAGCCGCUAGCUGGUCAUCAGAUAAACUUGGAGCAGAACUCUCCACAGCCAGCACGGAGCCUCCUCGCAGCUUCUCUUUGCGAGACCAUCCCCCUGGCCCUCCCCCAACAAGAAUCCGGGUGGA
This is an RNA transcript of Phacochoerus africanus (Common warthog), 1900 nucleotides long. It is a transcript of the gene named coiled-coil domain containing 78, with no coding region annotated. NCBI's taxonomy places the organism in Eukaryota, Metazoa, Chordata, Mammalia, Artiodactyla, Suidae. The record is from RefSeq and is a predicted model, not a curated record. The transcript has 13 exons.